AAGGGAUCCCUUCGGGGUGAGCUCGUGGACGAGCGGCGGACGGGUGAGUAACACGUGGGCAACCUGCCUGUAAGAUCGGAAUAACCCCGGGAAACCGGGGCUAAUGCCGGGUAAUACUUUCUUUCGCAUGAAGGAAAGUUGAAAGAUGGCUUCUCGCUAUCACUUACAGAUGGGCCCGCGGCGCAUUAGCUAGUUGGUGAGGUAACGGCUCACCAAGGCGACGAUGCGUAGCCGACCUGAGAGGGUGAUCGGCCACACUGGGACUGAGACACGGCCCAGACUCCUACGGGAGGCAGCAGUAGGGAAUCUUCCGCAAUGGACGAAAGUCUGACGGAGCAACGCCGCGUGAACGAUGAAGGUCUUCGGAUCGUAAAGUUCUGUUGUUAGGGAAGAACAAGUACCGUGCGAAUAGAGCGGUACCUUGACGGUACCUAACGAGGAAGCCCCGGCUAACUACGUGCCAGCAGCCGCGGUAAUACGUAGGGGGCAAGCGUUGUCCGGAAAUUAUUGGGCGUAAAGCGCGCGCAGGCGGUUCCAUUAAGUCUGAUGUGAAAGCCCACGGCUCAACCGUGGAGGGUCAUUGGAAACUGGGGAACUUGAGGACAGAAGAGGAGAGUGGAAUUCCACGUGUAGCGGUGAAAUGCGUAGAUAUGUGGAGGAACACCAGUGGCGAAGGCGACUCUCUGGUCUGUUUCUGACGCUGAGGUGCGAAAGCGUGGGUAGCAAACAGGAUUAGAUACCCUGGUAGUCCACGCCGUAAACGAUGAGUGCUAGGUGUUAGGGGGCUUCCACCCCUUAGUGCUGAAGUUAACGCAUUAAGCACUCCGCCUGGGGGAGUACGGGCCGCAAGGCUGAAACUCCAAAGGAAAUUUGACGGGGGCCCGCACAAGCGGUGGAGCAUGUGGUUUAAUUCGAAGCAACGCGAAGAACCUUACCAGGUCUUGACAUCCUUGGACAAUCCUAGAGAUAGGACUUUCCCUUCGGGGACCAAGUGACAGGUGGUGCAUGGUUGUCGUCAGCUCGUGUCGUGAGAUGUUGGGUUAAGUCCCGCAACGAGCGCAACCCCUAAUCUUAGUUGCCAGCAUUCAGUUGGGCACUCUAAGGUGACUGCCGGUGACAAACCGGAGGAAGGCGGGGAUGACGUCAAAUCAUCAUGCCCCUUAUGACCUGGGCUACACACGUGCUACAAUGGAUGGUACAAAGGGCAGCGAAGCCGCGAGGUGUAGCAAAUCCCAUAAAACCAUUCUCAGUUCGGAUUGCAGGCUGCAACUCGCCUGCAUGAAGCCGGAAUCGCUAGUAAUCGCGGAUUCAAGCACGCCCGCC
RNAcentral lists this ribosomal RNA (1323 nucleotides) under Halobacillus halophilus. RNAcentral describes it as "bacterial SSU rRNA". It matches the Rfam family "Bacterial small subunit ribosomal RNA", at positions 64 to 1361 of the family's 1533-position model. Lineage: Bacteria; Bacillati; Bacillota; Bacilli; Caryophanales; Bacillaceae. The record is from RNAcentral.